AACGAACGCUGGCGGCAUGCCUAAUACAUGCAAGUCGAACGAACACUUCGGUGUUAGUGGCGCACGGGUGCGUAACGCGUGGGAAUCUACCCCUUGGUUCGGAAUAACAGUUAGAAAUGACUGCUAAUACCGGAUGAUGACGAAAGUCCAAAGAUUUAUCGCCAAGGGAUGAGCCCGCGUAGGAUUAGCUAGUUGGUGAG
Molecule: ribosomal RNA, 200 nt
Filed under: uncultured bacterium
Lineage: Bacteria
Description: partial 16S ribosomal RNA
Rfam family: Bacterial small subunit ribosomal RNA
Source: RNAcentral